UACGUAGGGGGCUAGCGUUGUCCGGAAUCAUUGGGCGUAAAGAGCGUGUAGGCGGCCCGGUAAGUCCGCUGUGAAAGUCGGGGGCUCAACCCUCGAAUGCCGGUGGAUACUGUCGGGCUAGAGUGCGGAAGAGGCGAGUGGAAUUCCUGGUGUAGCGGUGAAAUGCGCAGAUAUCAGAAGGAACACCAAUUGCGAAGGCAGCUCGCUGGGACGUAACUGACGCUGAGACGCGAAAGCGUGGGGAGCAAACAGG
RNAcentral lists this ribosomal RNA (253 nucleotides) under uncultured bacterium. RNAcentral's name for it is "partial 16S ribosomal RNA". It matches the Rfam family "Bacterial small subunit ribosomal RNA", at positions 524 to 776 of the family's 1533-position model. The record is from RNAcentral.